Molecule: long non-coding RNA, 1047 nt
Organism: Folsomia candida
Lineage: Eukaryota; Metazoa; Arthropoda; Collembola; Entomobryomorpha; Isotomidae
Exons: 2
Source: RefSeq, a predicted model, not a curated record
GAUUUACCAUAACUUUCAUAAGCUGUUUAGUUGUCGAAAUUAGGUCAAAUUGUAUAAAAGCUCGUGCCCACUCUACUGGUUUCAUGCGUAUUUGAAAUGUCCCAUUAUUCAUGUUACUCCUUCCACAGAGUCGUCCGUCGUAGUAUCAACAAAAUAUUGUCGACACUGGUCUAUUUCGUCAGGAAAAUUUUCGUCUAAAAAUUUCUUCGCCAUGGUAGAAUUUACGUACUUUAACUUCUGAUAUUCGUUCGACUGUCUAAAAACUUUUGAAACUGCGUACGUUAUCUGAAAAUAAUCCACCUGCCUAUUUAGGGUGUGGUGGCGUGGUGAAGUAUGUUUAACUUAAACUUAUAUUAUCAACAGCUCUAUGUCCGUUAGGAUAAAUUUAAGGGAUGGAAGUUACUUGCACUAAGCUUGCCAUGUACACAUCUGUAAUGUCGAGACACAAGUUCCUGUAUUUUUUAUUAUAUGCAAUUUGGUUAUCAAUAUAUAUUUAGGUACGUAAAAGUCAAGUUGCACAUAACUGAACGGACAAUGAUUGCACAACCUCCUAUGCAUACAUACACCGUUCAUGAUCUGAAGUUCAUGAUGAUGAUUACAUACAUACAUACUUGCUAGUUCAUGGGAGUUGAAUCAUUUUGAUGUGAACAAAACAACGCAUCAAGUGAGAGAGACAUAUUGAAACACGUGCGUGACGUAUUUAUCAUGAAGUAUUUUUAUUACAUCAAUCAUUUUUAGAAGUGCUGAGUAAAUUUUUAUGAUAAAUUAUGAAUGACUAAUUAGUCAGUGAUCAAUAGUGAUCAUGAGAUAAAAUGAGCCUCAAAAUCUCAACACUUGACUUUAAAAUGUGUGUUGUAUGCAUAUGCAUGUAUUAGUCAUUAAGUUACAACCAACAUAUUUUAUUCUUAUAAAACUACUGUUCCAAAAUGUGUUUUUAUCGUUAAAACAAAAUUUCCUUGCACAUUCGUUACCUAUUUAUGUUGCAUUUUCUCAUUAUUUUCCUGUAUAAAAGAAUAAAUUACUAGUGGAAAUUACACUUAAAAUCAA